UACCAGCUCUCCGAGUGGUGGGGACGCUUAUUGGGCCUAAAGCAUUCGUAGCCGGCUGGACAAGUCCUCCGUUAAAUCCAACGAUUCAAUCGUUGGCCUGCAGGGGAUACUGUCUGGCUAGGAGGCGGUAGAGGCCGACGGUAUUUCCGGGGUAGGGGUGAAAUCCUAUAAUCCCGGGAGGACCAUCAGUGGCGAAGGCUGUCGGCUGGAACGCGCUCGACGGUGAGGGAUGAAAGCUGGGGGAGCGAACCGGAUUAGAUACCCGGGUAGUCCCAGCCGUAAACUUUGCAGGCUGGGUGUUGGUGCGGCUACGUGCCGCUCCGGUGCCGUAGGGAAACCGUUAAGCCUGCCGCCUGGGAAGUACGGUCGCAAGGCUGAAACUUAAAGGAAUUGGCGGGGGAGCACCACAAGGGGUGAAGCUUGCGGUUU
This 429-nucleotide ribosomal RNA is filed under the name uncultured archaeon. Its description in RNAcentral is "bacterial SSU rRNA". It matches the Rfam family "Archaeal small subunit ribosomal RNA", at positions 474 to 903 of the family's 1478-position model. The record is from RNAcentral.